GAACUGCGAUACGUAAUGUGAAUUGCAGAACUCCGUGAAUCAUCAAAUUUUCGAACGCACAUUGCGCUCUCGGGCAUUCCUGAGAGCAUACCUGUUUGAGUGUCAUAUUAACACACAAACCAAAUCGGUUUGGACUUGAGCCACCUUCUCGAUUAAAAAGAGAAUGGCUUUAAAAAUAAGGAAAGGUAGCAAAACUCUGGUUUUCGCUUAGCGGUUCUAAAUGAAAAGAUUUUCAUUUUUUCGCUGAGUAUAUUGACCUUUGUUUCUGCAUUAAUACCUUUCGUUAGCGAAAAAAUGUCAUUAAUUUGAUAUUUUGUAUUGAUUGACCUCAAAUCAGGUAAGACUACCCGCUGAACUUAA
RNAcentral lists this unclassified non-coding RNA (360 nucleotides) under uncultured Saccharomycetales. RNAcentral describes it as "sequence contains ITS1". The stretch from base 1 to 105 matches the Rfam family "5.8S ribosomal RNA", at positions 50 to 154 of the family's 154-position model. The record is from RNAcentral. Lineage: Eukaryota; Fungi; Ascomycota; Saccharomycetes.